CCCCCCCCCCUCCUCCUCCAGCUCCAUCCAACCAGGAAAUGAACUGUCACAGGAAGUCCCUGCUUCAAUAAAGAAUCACAGAGUUGAAGGCCAGAAGGGACCACCAGAUCACCUUGUCUCGCCUGUAUAUCAGAGGCCACUUUCUCCUCUACCUCUCAAUGGUGCUUGGGGAACAUUGCAAUGGGCCCAGUCUUGCAAAGUGCUGAUCGCUGGGUGCUCAGCUCUGUUCAGGGUUGGGCCUGCAGUCCUGGCACACCUCAAAUCCUCAUUGAUUACACUGGAUUGAUUAGUGCAUAAACGCUUUAGGAUUGGAGCCCUCAGAGUUGCUUUCCAUGCUGUACCCCUUUGUUGGUCUUGUAUCUUUAGACUGCAACCCUGCGAUGAGCUCCACACGGGCAGCAGAAUUGCCAGUCCAAAGCAUUCAGAACUCAGGAAUCGUGUUUCAAAAAAUCAUGACACUGACUUAGGAAUUAUGAGAUUUUUCUAAUCCUUGAGCCUUUAGAUCUCACAACUUCACAACUGUUCUCUGCAACCAUGAGGGCUAAAAACUUACUAAGAAAGAAAGAAAAGUGAAA
Molecule: long non-coding RNA, 575 nt
Organism: Chelonia mydas (Green sea turtle)
Lineage: Eukaryota; Metazoa; Chordata; Testudines; Cheloniidae
Exons: 2
Source: RefSeq, a predicted model, not a curated record